This 582-nucleotide long non-coding RNA is filed under the name Brassica rapa (field mustard). RNAcentral's name for it is "long non-coding RNA (BRAP_LNC002853)". Lineage: Eukaryota; Viridiplantae; Streptophyta; Magnoliopsida; Brassicales; Brassicaceae. The record is from RNAcentral.
GGGAGUUUGUUUUAUAAAUAAGUAAAUGUGGGAAUUGUGGUUUGGAAUGAAAAUAAAGAUGGGGUUUGGAAUAUAUGAAGUAGAAGAUAAGGAAUAUGGGGUUUUGGGGUUUGGGGUUUCGGAUUUUAGGGAUUUAAACGUACUGCUCGUUAAUUCCUCGUAACCUGACGUCGAAUGUACGACGUAAUCCUCGUUUAUUCCACGUAGGACAGAAUCGUCGUAAAGACCUCGUAAAGUAAAUUGACGUAAAUGCCACGUAAAGUAAAUGACGAAGGUGGCACUCGUUUAUUCCACGUAGGACAGAAUCGUCGUAAACACCUCGUAAGGCCACGAGGACUUUACGACGAAAUUAAAAAAGCGAGGCACUCUAAUUCCACGUAAGCCAAAAUCGUCGUAAAAGAGUCGUAAAAUAACGACGAUAUUACGACGAAAAUAUUAAAAAUACUAAAAAAAAGAAGAGAAGAAAGAUGCUUGAAUCACAUUUGGCGAGACUUACGUAAGUCUCGACCACAUGAGUUCCAAAUAUCUUCUUCUCUUCUUUUUUUUUCCAAAUUUUCUAAAUUGGUGAAAAGCGGGACUUGC